RNAcentral lists this ribosomal RNA (486 nucleotides) under uncultured bacterium. RNAcentral describes it as "partial 16S ribosomal RNA". It matches the Rfam family "Bacterial small subunit ribosomal RNA", at positions 28 to 523 of the family's 1533-position model. The record is from RNAcentral.
GAUGAACGCUGGCGGCGUGCUUAACACAUGCAAGUCGAACGGAAAGGCCUCAGCUUGCAGGGGUACUCGAGUGGCGAACGGGUGAGUAACACGUGGGUGAUCUGCCCUGCACUUUGGGAUAAGCUCGGGAAACUGGGUCUAAUACCGAAUAUGACCACUUCUUGGAUGUUGUGGUGGAAAGCUUUUGCGGUGUGGGAUGAGCCUGCGGCCUAUCAGCUUGUUGGUGGGGUAAUGGCCUACCAAGGCGGCGACGGGUAUCCGGCCUGAGAGGGUGUACGGACACAUUGGGACUGAGAUACGGCCCAGACUCCUACGGGAGGCAGCAGUGGGGAAUAUUGCACAAUGGGCGCAAGCCUGAUGCAGCGACGCCGCGUGGGGGAUGAAGGCCUUCGGGUUGUAAACUCCUUUCGCUAUCGACGAAGCCACUUGUGGUGACGGUAGGUAGAUAAGAAGCACCGGCUAACUACGUGCCAGCCGCCGCCGUAA